UAUGUGAUCGUCUCUCGCAUAUCAAUAAGCGGAGGAAAAGAAACUAACAAGGAUUCCCCUAGUAACGGCGAGUGAAGCGGGAAGAGCUCAAAUUUGAAAUCUUAAAGGGUUUCCCUUUACGAAUUGUAGUUUAAAGAAGUGUUUUCUGUUGAGGUUUUGGUAAAAGUUCUUUGGAAUAGGACAUCAUAGAGGGUGAGAAUCCCGUAUUUGACCUUUACUUUCAACUUUGUGAUACACUUUCAAAGAGUCGGAUUGUUUGGGAAUGCAGUCCAAAAUGGGUGGUAAAUUUCAUCUAAAGCUAAAUAUUGGCGAGAGACCGAUAGCGAACAAGUACCGUGAGGGAAAGAUGAAAAGAACUUUGAAAAGAGAGUUAAACAGUACGUGAAAUUGUCAAAAGGGAAGCGUUUGACACCAGUGUUGUUUUUCUGAAGAUCAAUUAAAGAACUGUUUAUGCUAAGUUGUUUAGACUUUAUCAGCUAUCUGCUUAGUUUUGAGCUUUUCUUUAAUGCACUUUUCAGUUAACAAGUCAACAUCAAUUUCUUUUGCUGUAAAAAAGCUUGAGGAAGGUGGCUUGAGAUUCGUCUUAAGUGUUUAUAGCCUCUUGCCUAUGCAGUCGGAGAGAUUGAGGUCUGCAGCGUAGAUCCUUCGGGGCUAAAUGCAUUUGUGCUAAGUUAUAGCAUUUUAUAGACAACUUGUUGACUAUGAUUUGUCUUGUAGCUUACUCGCUUAUGUUAUUUUACCUACGCUUAGGAUGUUGACACACGCGCGUGCUCG
RNAcentral lists this ribosomal RNA (774 nucleotides) under uncultured Neocallimastigales. Its description in RNAcentral is "partial large subunit ribosomal RNA". It matches the Rfam family "Eukaryotic large subunit ribosomal RNA", at positions 24 to 643 of the family's 3401-position model. The record is from RNAcentral. Lineage: Eukaryota; Fungi; Neocallimastigomycota; Neocallimastigomycetes; Neocallimastigales.